GAUUAUGGCUCAGGAUGAACGCUAGCGACAGGCUUAACACAUGCAAGUCGAGGGGCAUCAUGAGGUAGCAAUACCUUGAUGGCGACCGGCGCACGGGUGAGUAACGCGUAUGCAACCUGCCCGAUACCGGGGUAUAGCCCAUGGAAACGUGGAUUAACACCCCAUAGUACUUUUAUCCUGCAUGGGAUGUGAGUUAAAUGUUCAGGGUAUCGGAUGGGCAUGCGUCCUAUUAGUUAG
Molecule: ribosomal RNA, 237 nt
Filed under: uncultured bacterium
Lineage: Bacteria
Description: partial 16S ribosomal RNA
Rfam family: Bacterial small subunit ribosomal RNA
Source: RNAcentral